RNAcentral lists this ribosomal RNA (353 nucleotides) under uncultured bacterium. Its description in RNAcentral is "bacterial SSU rRNA". It matches the Rfam family "Bacterial small subunit ribosomal RNA", at positions 30 to 379 of the family's 1533-position model. The record is from RNAcentral.
AUUGAACGCUGGCGGAAUGCUUUACACAUGCAAGUCCGAACGGGUAGAGGGGGCAACCCCCUUGAGAGUGGCGAACGGGUGAGUAAUAUAUCGGAACGUGCCCCAGUCGUGGGGGAUAACGUAGCGAAAGUUAUGGCUAAUACCGCAUACGAUCUACGGAUGAAAGCGGGGGACUCGCAAGAGCCUCGCGCGAUUGGAGCGGCCGAUAUCAGAUUAGGUAGUUGGUGGGGUAAAAGGCUCACCAAGCCAACGAUCUGUAGCUGGUCUGAGAGGACGACCAGCCACACUGGAACUGAGACACGGUCCAGACUCCUACGGGAGGCAGCAGUGGGGAAUUUUGGACAAUGGACGGC